Molecule: long non-coding RNA, 4365 nt
Organism: Bacillus rossius redtenbacheri
Lineage: Eukaryota; Metazoa; Arthropoda; Insecta; Phasmatodea; Bacillidae
Exons: 2
Source: RefSeq, a predicted model, not a curated record
UUUAUGGCCACCAGAGAUUUUGUGGAGGCCAUCAUCCUUGAAUGGCUCACAUCUAAACUGGUGACGACACGUGAUGUGAUCUCGUUUCAUAACCGUCACUUUCUUCACAAAAAACAAUGGACUUUUCUUAACUGCAAAUAAAAUUAAUAACUCUUUUUACAAUUUAUUUACGUCUAUUACAUGAGUGAGGAAUAAUGUUCUUCGAUCGUGGAGUUUUAAUUAGAGGUUAAACAUGCCCGGUAACAUUGUUUUUAUUUAUUUUUAUUCGUAUAAAAUUAAUAUUUAAUAAUAAUGAGCAUUAUUAGGAAUUUUAUGCGCAUACGGCAGGACAGACUGUUGAUCACAUUUCUGAGCAUGCUAAUCGUACUGGAAUUGCAAAGAGAAAACCAUCGGAAAUGAUGGAAACAAAUGCAAGAAAACGGGCAUGUGUAAAACCACUUUUGCAUUCUGUAAAUGUAAAAAGAAUUGAUGACCUUACACCAAAGGCCAAAAUAUUGUAUGGUCUUAAUUAAGUUUUUAUAAUUCUUAUGAUUAAAUAAAUGUAAAUUACACUUUAGUGUAUUGUUUACAGAAUUUUCUACCACUGAAUGGCCAAUUUUAUUUUUAGUUCAAAUAUUUAAUUAUUUUAUUAUGUUUGUGUGAUUUAAUGUCUUCAUAUUUGGUCAUAAAUUAUUUUAUGUGUUAUGUAUUAGUAUUUUCAUUUAGUUGAAAUUAUGUUUACGUAAUCCGCGGUGGGUUGUAUGAAUUUUGGUUUGAUUCUGUCCAGUCUUUCUUGCUAUCAAAACUCGCAAUGAGACGAAUAGACAGCGGGCCAAGUUUUGACAUCAAAUUUAAUUUAUAUUAAUUUAGUGAAUUUUUAUUAGCUAUUUUAGUGAUAAUGAAUUUAGUCACCCCAAGAGGCGGCUUAUCUGGAAGUAUAGUAAUAGCUACUUUUGUUACCAGAGGACGACAUGCAAUCCUUCUUUUGUCACGUGUGUUGAUGAAGGGAGAAUUUGCUUUGCCAUGUAAUUACAAGAAUUUAAAUUAAUUUAAUGGUACUAAAUUAGAGAAUAAUGGUGCUCAAAAUUUGCCAUACUACCCUAAAAUUCCGAGAUUCUGGAAUCUUAUAUUUCUAUCCUUAUUGGAGUUCUGUCGGUGAGGUCCUGUUUAAUCAGUAUUACUAUUGUGUGCACUGAAAUUUUACGGUACUCAUUAAUCCAAGCGAAGAAUGUCAAGGCACUACGAUCUUGUCAUUUAAAAUGUAAUUAUUCCUCGUUAUUUGAGUGGCUUACAUGUAGGUACUAUUAGGUAGAUUUCAAAGAAAUACUACCUAUUGUAGCCCUUACCAUGGUGCGACUUCAGGAAAAUUUUUAUACAGUUUUUUGUUGCAUGGUCCAUAGACCCCAAAACCACCGUCAACACAAAAGUUUGUGUGUGUCUGUGUGUGUAUAUACAGUAAGUCCUCUAUUUACGUCGUUUCGGAUUAACGUCGCUAAUGUUUGAGUACUCAUGUUUCAAUUUAAGUUGUCGCCGAUUCACAAUAACGUCGUUUACAAUGACCGUAAAUCUUUAUUUUAACCAAAACACCUUAUAUAAUUCGUUUACAAUUCUUUGUUUCCUUCAGUAGUUAAUUUAUGCUAUGUAGCGUAAGCUACACGUUCACCGCCUUAUCUUAUCAUACAUCAUGAGGGACGCUUCCUGCUCUCCGCGCGGUGAUGCAAUACAACCAGCCCGCCCGCUCGGCCACCCACGUAUCUUGCACGUAGAAGUGUUAUCUACUUCCCGCAACGACACAGCAUUUUCUCCUACCCCUUUUCGUCCCAACUCCUUGGCACUUCAGUAGAGGUGUAAAAGUAACUAAAAAAAGUGUACCCGUAUGUAUUCGUUACUAUAACAAUUAGUACUCGUUACUUUCGUAUCGUUACUCGUUACUUCUGAUACAGCAUAACAUGCUAUGUUAUGUAACAGCAAUGAAUCGAGUCGUAUUUCCUACGCGUACAGUAUGACGUCGCGUAAAUAAUAAUAAAUCGAAUAUAAACAAUUAAAAGUAUUUGAUAAUUAACAGCUUUUGUUAACCAAGAAACAAUAAAAUCUCAUUAGAGCAGCUUUAUUAUAAUAUCUCUUUUAAGAUCAGAACAAAAAACGUGAAAAUACACGAUAAUAAAAAACAAAAACAUACAUAUUUAUAAUUUGUAAAAAAUACUUUCUUACGUUGUUUCUGUUCCAAUCUCAAACUUUGUCUACACACACAAUACCGUUAAUAAACAGUAAAAAACUUGGACGACGAAUUUCCAAAUUAUACUUUUCUUAAUAAACAAACAUCGUUCUUUGUAAUGAAUAAGCGCGCGCAUGCGUAAAACAUACGAAAAAUGUGAGUAACGAAAUGCAUUCGUAUGUAACGUUUCGUUACUCGUUACUAGAUGCCGCACCCGUUACUCAGUAACAAAUACAUACGGUUUGCUACAGGACAGCUCUACACUUCAGUCGCUAUGAUAUCAUUGAGUUGGCCGGAGUUUUAAACGUGCCGUUGUUAACUUUAUCGUGAUUAAAUGCGUUUGUAGUAGGCCUACAGUAUCAGCUCACUGCAAUUUAUGAUUUUUUCUUCAUAAGAUGUCUUCCAAACGACUAUAUAUCUGUUUUUAUAUUUCAAUCAAUAAAGGUAAUAAAGCAGCUGGUUAAAUAACCAUUCUAUAAAGCAGAGAAGUACUAGUUGGACUUGUUUCCCACGCUGUCGGUUGUAAUUUGCUGAUAAAAUUGCCCGUUGUCACGUCUGUAUGCCAGCGCUUCCGGCCGACCUUGGGCCGUGGUCGGCCGGUGGCAUGAAACAUGGCUCAUUUUGCGUCGUUUCUAUUUACGUCGCGGUUUUCAGGAACGUAACCCCGACGUAAACCGAGGACUUACUGUAUAUAUAUUUUUUUUCACUUUCUUGUGGACACAAUAACUGUUGUAAUUUUUCUCAAAUCAAUUCCAAACUGAUUCAUAAAUUAUAAAUGUGAAAAAACUUGGUCGUGUUCGUUAAUAGGCAAUAUCCGACCAAAGGGGUAGAAAUGGGGAAAGUUUUUCAAAAAACAAAUAAAUGGUUCUAACUCCUGUAAUAUUGAAAAUAUUACAUCCGUUUGAAUGUAUUAAAACUCGUAGGAGUAAUAACAAAAUAUUUUGUCUAAAUAUGUUUUUUAUUUGACCAACCAUAACUGCAAGGGGUUGAAAACAAGGGUUGGCUGACAAAAAAAAAUCAUAACCCCGUUUGUAGGCAUAACAUUGAAUUUGUACAAAUGAUGUAUUUUUCGUAUAUUUUUUAUCUAAAACUUUAGUCUCAAACAAUUUUUGAUAAGACGAACCAUUGUUGCAAAGCGUUGAAAAAAUUAAUGGGUAGAAUUAAAAAUAAUAAUAAUAAUUAUUAUAACUCCCUUAGAGUGGCAUACUUUCAAGUUCGUUCAAACUGUUUAUAAAUCUUAAAAUGUUUACAUAAAACUUUUGUCUGAAACUAUUUUCUUUAUAAUACAAACCAUUAUUUCAAGGGAUGAAAAUAACAAGGGUAGAAAAACAAAAUUCCAUUACUCUUUUUAAUACGGUUACUUUCAGUACCUAUUUGAAGAUCAAAAAUAAUUGCAUGACUACCUUAGUAGGCAUAUUAUGACAUUCUUUAAGACAUGCUUUCUUGGAUGCAUUAAGUUAUAAACAUUCAAAAUAUUUUCUUUGCAUAGAAUAUGUGAAAAAGUCAAAUCAAUUUUUUUUUAAUAUUGCCGAACAGAUAGGUUUUUAUGUCAGCUACAUUAAGUUCUUAAAAUUUUCAAGGAGUUUAUAGUAGGCCUAGUUGAAAUAAUAUUUCCAGAAGGGAUAGUUUAUUUCAAAUCUACCUACACCUGUUCCGGAGGCUAUCAAUUCUUUUCAGUGUCCAAACAUUUUUGUACAAUGUGAUGCAACAAUUUUUUUCUGUGUAUUCAAUGAUUUAGAUUUAAAUCAAUUGAAAUGUGGCUUGCUAUGUUUUUUUUGUAUGGAAGGGUUUUAUGUUUAAUCUUGUUUAAUUUUGCUUGUUGCACUCAACAGUUAUGAUUUUCAUGUUUGUCAAUUGUGUAAAGAAAAGCAUUGUAUUUAUUUAUUAUUUUAUCUGUUAUUAAUAAUAAUUUACCCUGAUGUCAAUAUAUAGCUGCAUGUAGACUUAUACAUUGUAUAUGGUUAAUUAGGCAUAUUUGCUAUGUUAUCAAACUCUCCUAUUGCUUAAUGUUUGAACCUGUUUUAUUCUUCAGAUAUAUUCACUUAAGUGUUCCUUGCAGAUGCAAGUUGCAAUACCUAUUCCUAUCAUGAUUAAUUUUUUUUCCUUGAAAAAUUCAAUAGUUUUGUAUUAAAGGGAAGUUAAUAAUAAAGUAAUCCAAUUAUUGUAUGAAA